AGUAGUUUGAUCAGUGGCUCGAGGACGAACGCUGGCGGCGUGCUUAACACAUGCAAGUCGAACGGUGAACCAGGGCUUGCCCUGGGGAUCAGUGGCGAACGGGUGAGUAACACGUGGGCAACCUGCCCCUGACUCUGGGAUAACUCCUCGAAAGAGGUGCUAAUACCGGAUACGACCACUUCGGGCAUCCGAUGGUGGUGGAAAGAAUUUUGGUCAGGGAUGGGCCCGCGGCCUAUCAGCUUGUUGGUGGGGUAACGGCCCACCAAGGCGACGACGGGUAGCCGGCCUGAGAGGGCGACCGGCCACACUGGGACUGAGACACGGCCCAGACUCCUACGGGAGGCAGCAGUGGGAAAUAUUGCGCAAUGGGCGAAAGCCUGACGCAGCGACGCCGCGUGAGGGACGACGGCCUUCGGGUUGUAAACCUCUUUCAGCAGGGACGAAGCGAAAGUGACGGUACCUGCAGAAGAAGCACCGGCUAACUACGUG
Molecule: ribosomal RNA, 489 nt
Filed under: uncultured bacterium
Lineage: Bacteria
Description: bacterial SSU rRNA
Rfam family: Bacterial small subunit ribosomal RNA
Source: RNAcentral